UAGAACUGAAAAGAAAAGGAUUGUAGUUCGCAAGGGAACUAGCUGUGCUGAAUUGGAUAUAUCUGGAUGCAGUCUGCUUUCAUCUCUAGUCAGGUCAGCUGAUUUCCAGUUAGUCAGCUUGCUUCCCUCUGUUUCUCAUUCCAUGCCAAAAAGCAAGCGAGAGGACCAAAGCGCAGGAAAUAAACACCAGCAUGAUGGUGUUAGAGCUGAUGAAUAACCACAGGCUCUGGGUAAGAGAAGGAACCGUUAUGUCACUGUUUAGAGGACUGCUGGUUUUCCUCUGUCUCCUGCAAGCCACAGAUAGUGUUAACAACCACCUUAAAACAAGCACGGGGAAGCGCGUUGAACUGCCAUGUGAAUACCCUUUCGAAGACCAGGGUCCAAUCUCAGAGCUGGUCCUCCAUUGGAAGAGCCCGAACGAUACCUUGCUGUGUGCCAUUGUAAAGCAAAAAAGCAUCCACAGAUGCCAGCCCGGAUACGUGUUUCAGUACAGCCCCGGGAAGCUCUCCCUCGUCAUUGAAAAAGUCAGGAGGGAGGAUUUGGGGAACCACACCUGUUCAGCUUAUAAACAAAAUGAUCAUUCUGAUUACGUCACAGAUAUUUCAUUAGAAGGUCGCUCACUGUCUCCUUCAUGCACUACCUGUUAUAAACCCUCAUGUUAUGCACUUUUCACAGCAUUACUUAUUACAGUCUGCAUUACACGACAGUGGAAUUGACUGCCCCACUUGCUAUGCAGGGAUUCCACGUUGGUAUCUCCUACAGCAGACCAAAAAGAGCAACACUGCUAUUCAGUAAUGUGACAUUGACCAGAUGAAUGUUUAUCCAAGUAUCAGGUAACAGACCCUGUCCUUCUUUUUAUUGUGAUCAUUUUUCCUGAUCACAGUAAUCUUCUGGAACUCAAAGGGGAGAAACGGGAGACAGCUGAAAAACGAAGUCUUAUACAUACCCAACCAAAACAAAGUUUAAUUUGUGGAUUUCACAGCAAUAAUAAGUGUAGGCUUACAUACUCUGUCCUUUCUUUAAAACCAAAUAAAGCCAUCGAAAAAUAAUCUUGUCGACUUAUAUCUUCAGUGUUUUAACUAUUGUUUUAGCUACUGUAUGCAUGAACUUCUAAAAGAAACUGACUAGAGAAUUGUGUUUGGUUUCACAGUACUAAUCUUUCAAGACAUGAGCCAAGUAGAGUCUGUGAAACCAGCCUUUCAUGAAUUAUUUAACCAAUCAGUACCGGCUUCAAAAACAAGUCCUUAUGAAGAAAUGAGUCAUCGUAACUAUUACUGAUAAAAACACAUGUGAUAAGCACAACUUGUUUUCCACUGAAGUGAACACUCCUCACCUGCUUUUUUCAGUUUUACAAUAAGCAAUUGUAAAAUAACCAGCAAAGUUGUUUUUUCAUGUUUCUAUGUAUUGUGUUGAAAACUGCAAUUAAUGUAUUUACCACAAGACUGGUUAAUUUGUAAAGAAAGCUGUGUUUUAAGUUGUAUAAUGUAUUUAAUUGUGUUGAGACUGGCACUGUAAAUAAAAUGUGUUUAACAUGUAUUGUUAACAAAAUA
Long non-coding RNA from Acipenser ruthenus (sterlet), 1550 nucleotides. RefSeq lists it as uncharacterized. Lineage: Eukaryota; Metazoa; Chordata; Actinopteri; Acipenseriformes; Acipenseridae. The transcript is spliced from 5 exons. The record is from RefSeq and is a predicted model, not a curated record.